RNAcentral lists this ribosomal RNA (468 nucleotides) under uncultured bacterium. Its description in RNAcentral is "partial 16S ribosomal RNA". It matches the Rfam family "Bacterial small subunit ribosomal RNA", at positions 28 to 507 of the family's 1533-position model. The record is from RNAcentral.
GACGAACGCUGGCGGCGUGCUUAACACAUGCAAGUCGAACGGAAAGGCCCUGCUUUUGUGGGGUGCUCGAGUGGCGAACGGGUGAGUAUCACGUGAGUAACCUGCCCUUGACUUUGGGAUAACUUCAGGAAACUGGGGCUAAUACCGGAUAUGAGCUCCUGCUGCAUGGUGGGGGUUGGAAAGUUUCGGCGUUUGGGGAUGGACUCGCGGUUUAUCAGCUUGUUGGUGGGGUAGUGGCUUACCAAGGCUUUGACGGGUAGCCGGCCUGAGAGGGUGACCGGCCACAAUGGGACUGAGAUACGGCCCAGACGCAUACGGGAGGCAGCAGUGGGGAAUAUUGCACAAAGGGCGGAAGCCUGAUGCAGCAACGCCGCGUGCGGGAUGACGGCCUUCGGGUUGUAAACCGCUUUCGCCUGUGACGAAGAGUGAGUGACGGUAAUGGGUAAAGAAGCACCGGCUAACUACGUG